Molecule: ribosomal RNA, 459 nt
Filed under: uncultured bacterium
Lineage: Bacteria
Description: partial 16S ribosomal RNA
Rfam family: Bacterial small subunit ribosomal RNA
Source: RNAcentral
CCUACGGGCGGCAGCAGUGAGGAAUAUUGGUCAAUGGUCGGGAGACUGAACCAGCCAAGCCGCGUGAGGGAUGAAGGUACAGAGUAUCGUAAACCUCUUUUGUCAGGGAACAAAGGCGGGGACGUGUCCCCGGAUGAGUGUACCUGAAGAAAAAGCAUCGGCUAACUCCGUGCCAGCAGCCGCGGUAAUACGGAGGAUGCGAGCGUUAUCCGGAUUUAUUGGGUUUAAAGGGUGCGCAGGCGGUCUGUUAAGUCAGCGGUCAAAGCCCGGGGCUCAACCCCGGCCCGCCGUUGAAACUGGCAGUCGCGAGUUGGAGAGAAGUAUGCGGAAUGCGCGGUGUAGCGGUGAAAUGCAUAGAUAUCGCGCAGAACUCCGAUUGCGAAGGCAGCAUGCCGGCUCCACACUGACGCUGAGGCACGAAAGCGUGGGUAUCGAACAGGAGUAGAUACCCGUGUAGUC